Camellia sinensis is the source of this 483-nucleotide non-coding RNA. The record is from RefSeq and is a predicted model, not a curated record. NCBI's taxonomy places the organism in Eukaryota, Viridiplantae, Streptophyta, Magnoliopsida, Ericales, Theaceae.
GAUACUAAGAAAUUGCUUAAUUAUUGGUCCAAUCCCAGAUUACAUUGGUGAAUUGUCUAAUCUCAAAAUUUUGUACUGGAAUUACUUGAGGAAGCACACAUAUGUUCUGGAAUCUAUGGCUUCUUGAAGAUCUUUGUCUUUUUCAAUAGCUUAUUUGUUCGAAAGAGUUCUCAUUGAAGAGAUGGCUUUGUUGCGUGGACUUGUGGAUAAUCCAUAUUGGUGCAUGGAGAAGAAUUUCACUUUUGUGUAGAACCAAUAUAAUACUUUUGUCAUCCUCAGCUUUUGUGUAGUUCAUUAUUACUUUUGUCGUGGUACAUAUAUCACCUUUUGUUGUGGUACAGAUUACGACGGUAAUUUGUACCAUGUCAAAUGAUAAUUUCACUUGGUAGUAAAUGUAUUUUUUUGUAUACGGAGGGUUUUGAUUUUUGUAUGAUAUAUUUUGUAUAGAAUUAUUAUUUUAGUUUGGACAAUAGUUGAUUUGUA